AACCCAUAAUUCAAGACAUCAUGCCACAUGCAAAAUAUAUUAUGUGUUAAGUCAUGCAUUAAAAUAUUAAGGACAAGCAUGUCAAGGAUCAAAAUCAAUUCUUUUCAAAUAAACUCCCCCUAUUUAAAUAUAAUCUUGCAUUGAUUUCAUCCUUAAAGUGUGUUUUCAAGUGAUUAAAAAAUUUGACUUGAUUCUUCUUAUAUACUUUCAUUUACUUUGU
This 220-nucleotide long non-coding RNA is filed under the name Phoenix dactylifera (date palm). Its description in RNAcentral is "long non-coding RNA (PDAC_LNC014812)". The record is from RNAcentral. Lineage: Eukaryota; Viridiplantae; Streptophyta; Magnoliopsida; Arecales; Arecaceae.